Molecule: long non-coding RNA, 936 nt
Organism: Nilaparvata lugens (brown planthopper)
Lineage: Eukaryota; Metazoa; Arthropoda; Insecta; Hemiptera; Delphacidae
Exons: 2
Source: RefSeq, a predicted model, not a curated record
ACAUUUUUUUGGUAUGCUGUUAGUUGAAGAUGGGCCAGCACUGUCUUGCUGUCUUUUGUAUUUAUUUUUGGUUACCUAUUUUGUUUGAUGCAAUCGGCACUAGCGAACAAGUUUAUCUUAUGCUAGUGUCUGCCAAAUUGAUGAGAUUGCGUUGUUGAAGAAAGGGAGGACGAGGGCGAGGAGAAGAAGGAGGGGAAGCAAGAACAGAAUGAAAAGCGAAUGACGAGAUGCAGCAAAGUGAAAAGUGGAGGGAAAAGUUUUAUUCUAUAAGAUGCUCUUUUCUGGAAUAGAAUGUCGAACAAAGACCAAGUCUGAUGGAUAUUGAACAAGUUUGAUGAGAGAGAGACUAAGUUUUGAAUUUAUUCAUCACUUUUCUUCACGUUCAAGGCUACAGUUAUUAAUGUGUGCUUUGAAUGGAAAUUCGAGCUUUGGCUGAGCACUCGCUCACUUCAUAACAUAAAGAAAAUUCACAUAUCAGGAAAAUUGAAAAUUGGAGCGGAGUCGGCUAAAUUGAUGUAGGCAUUCGUUUUUAUAAGAGCAUGCGAAGAUUUUUAUUCGUUCAAAGAAAGAGCUUUGAAGCGCUCAACGAUAUUACGUAUUCUAAUUCCGUACAGUAUUCAAAUAUAUUUCCAAUCAAUGCAAAUCAUUUUUCAGCCGUAUAACAGAUGUUUUACAAUGUGUACCACUACCUACAAAGCAUGAACAAUAUAAUUCACCCUGAUGCCGAUAAUUUCAGUCGUUAAGAGUAUUCUGGACUGGUCAUUGAACUAAUAGGAAUUUAGUGAACAUCACUUAGUGAUGGAAAUUAUUAAAUUACUUCAGUAUUGAAAAUUGAGUUAAAUGGCAGAGUGAACAUUAUUGUCUAAACUUCAACACGUCAUAAAAUAAGAAGGAAUUCUCUCUCAUUCCAACUCAAAUAAAGGAAUAAAAAAUGUA